AACGAACGCUGGCGGCAUGCCUAACACAUGCAAGUCGAACGAGACCUUCGGGCCUAUUGGCGCAGGGCUACGUAACACCUGGGAACCUGCCCUUAGGUUCGGAAUAACUCCCCGAAAGGUGUGCUAAUACCGGUUAAUGUCUUCGGACCAAAGAGUUAUCGCCUUGGGAUGGGGCCUCGUUGGAUUAGCUGGUGGGUAGGGUAAAAGCCUGCCAACGCGAGGAUCGAUGGCUGGUCGGAUAGGAUGACAAGUCAGGAUGGGACUGAGACACGGCCCACACUCGUACGGGGGGCAGCAGUGGGGAGCAUUGGACGCUGGGCCAAAGCCUGACCCAGCAAUGCGGCGUGAGUGAUGAAGGCGUUAGGGUUGUAAAGCUCUCUUACCCGGGAUGAUAAUGACAGUACCGGGAGAAUAAGCUCCGGCUAACUACGUG
This 433-nucleotide ribosomal RNA is filed under the name uncultured bacterium. RNAcentral describes it as "partial 16S ribosomal RNA". It matches the Rfam family "Bacterial small subunit ribosomal RNA", at positions 29 to 507 of the family's 1533-position model. The record is from RNAcentral.